UCUGGCUCCUUCCUUCUCAAUGAGCAGGCGAUGGAUGUUCAGGUUCAGGCGCUCGGAUGCCGCUUGGACUUAAUUACCUUGUUCCUUCUUCCAUGUUGACUCUCAUCUCAGCCCACCGUUCUCCCGAUUCGAGUGCAGGUCGAGGUGCUUGGAGGCCAGAUGGAGGAAAGUAUCACCACCGCGACAUUCAGGCUGCUUCCACACCGUCCAGGGUUGCCACGCUGGGACCCGGUGAGUGUUUGGCGGUGGUGGCUUUGGCUGCACGUGCCCGUCCCCAGGCUUGGUGGCGUUUAUGUUCCGCUACGAUGGCCGGGUGGCUGCGCCGAGUCCCCGCUGUCGGGGUAUGCUCCAUGCUGGGCCGUAGCCUCCCAUUCGUUGUGCGGGGCCUGCCUUCAUGGCCUUUGCCGUCCUCGCCGUUAGCUUGUCCCUCGAGUUUGGCAGGUAACUACGGUUCCAUGGUGUCCCUAUCGGUGGAGAAGGUCGGCUGGACAGGAGCAUGGCUCGACCCGAGAUGGUGGUGGGGAUGACAUUAGCGGACACGGCCAGAUCUGUGGCCAGAAAAGCCAUGGCGGUGAACUCCGAUUGACGUCCUACUCGCGCUGGGCGGCGCUUGAUGUGGUGACUGCAGAAUAGUAUAGCUGCGGGCAGAGUAGUAGGCUAGAUGUGGAAAAAUAAUCUGUAAUUUCAAGUUUUUUUGCUGUGUGUUUCUUCCUUUUGAUUAAAAAAUGUUAUUUAUUUGGUA
Molecule: long non-coding RNA, 742 nt
Organism: Triticum dicoccoides
Lineage: Eukaryota; Viridiplantae; Streptophyta; Magnoliopsida; Poales; Poaceae
Exons: 2
Source: RefSeq, a predicted model, not a curated record